This 358-nucleotide unclassified non-coding RNA is filed under the name soil metagenome. RNAcentral describes it as "partial contains 5.8S ribosomal RNA, internal transcribed spacer 2, and large subunit ribosomal RNA". The stretch from base 1 to 120 matches the Rfam family "5.8S ribosomal RNA", at positions 35 to 154 of the family's 154-position model. The record is from RNAcentral.
GAUGAAGAACGCAGCGAAAUGCGAUAAGUAAUGUGAAUUGCAGAAUUCAGUGAAUCAUCGAAUCUUUGAACGCACAUUGCGCCCGUCAGUAUUCUGGCGGGCAUGCCUGUUCGAGCGUCAUUACGCCCCUCAAGUCCCCUGUGGACUUGGUGUUGGGGAUCGGCGAGGCUGGUUUUCCAGCACAGCCGUCCCUUAAAUUAAUUGGCGGUCUCGCCGUGGCCCUCCUCUGCGCAGUAGUAAAACACUCGCAACAGGAGCCCGGCGCGGUUCACUGCCGUAAAACCCCCCAACUUUUUAUAGUUGACCUCGAAUCAGGUAGGACUACCCGCUGAACUUAAGCAUAUCAAUAAGCGGAGGA